GGGGGAAUAUGAUAAUGGUAAUCUAUUGUGUUUGCAUCACAAAGAUGAUAGUUCGAUUCUAUCUUUCUCCA
Rhizoctonia solani AG-1 IA is the source of this 71-nucleotide transfer RNA. It matches the Rfam family "tRNA". Rfam says of the family: Transfer RNA (tRNA) molecules are approximately 80 nucleotides in length. The record is from Rfam. NCBI's taxonomy places the organism in Eukaryota, Fungi, Basidiomycota, Agaricomycetes, Cantharellales, Ceratobasidiaceae.